This 537-nucleotide long non-coding RNA is filed under the name Homo sapiens (human). Its description in RNAcentral is "non-protein coding lnc-RIOX1-3:1". The record is from RNAcentral. Lineage: Eukaryota; Metazoa; Chordata; Mammalia; Primates; Hominidae.
ACCGUUGUUCUGCUGCCACCUGGAAAUCCUCCCAGAGCUCAAAGCCUGCUGCUCUGGGCAAAGCUGACAAGGAAGGACAGAUUCAGCAGCCAACCAAGGAGCAUACCUUCAUUUGAUUUCCUUAAGGCAAAAGCACUGGCUAAACAAAGGGAGACUAUCUGGGAGAAGGUGUUUUCACCCUUUCAAGCUGGGGUGCUUUCACCACCGGGAAGUGCCACGCUGCUUUCCACGCUGGAACAAGGACUCACUUCCUAAGGCCUUGGUUCCCCAGGAGCUGUUGGCCAGAAGCCUCCCUCGGUGCCCUGCCUCAUGGGCCUCUUCGUUGAGCAUCUCACAACGUGGCAGCUUACUUCAUCAGUGCAAGCAAGCAAGAGCAAGAGAGAGGACUCACCAGAGACAGUAAUAGCAAAACAGAAGGCACAGUCUUUCGUAAUCCAAUCACAGAUGUGACAUCCCAUCACUGUUGCCACAUCCUGUGAGUUAGAAAUGGUGGAGCCUUACUCUGUCGCUCAGGCUGGAGUGCAGUGGCGAGAUCUC